RNAcentral lists this RNase P RNA (375 nucleotides) under Salmonella enterica. Its description in RNAcentral is "RNase P RNA component class A". It matches the Rfam family "Bacterial RNase P class A". Rfam says of the family: Ribonuclease P (RNase P) is a ubiquitous endoribonuclease, found in archaea, bacteria and eukarya as well as chloroplasts and mitochondria. Its best characterised activity is the generation of mature 5'-ends of tRNAs by cleaving the 5'-leader elements of precursor-tRNAs. Lineage: Bacteria; Pseudomonadati; Pseudomonadota; Gammaproteobacteria; Enterobacterales; Enterobacteriaceae. The record is from RNAcentral.
GAAGCUGACCAGACAGUCGCCGCUUCGUCGUCGUCCUUUCGGGGAGACGGGCGGAGGGGAGGAAAGUCCGGGCUCCAUAGGGCAGGGUGCCAGGUAACGCCUGGGGGGGAAACCCACGACCAGUGCAACAGAGAGCAAACCGCCGAUGGCCCGCGCAAGUGGGAUCAGGUAAGGGUGAAAGGGUGCGGUAAGAGCGCACCGCGCGGCUGGUAACAGUCCGUGGCACGGUAAACUCCACCCGGAGCAAGGCCAAAUAGGGGUUCAUAAGGUACGGCCCGUACUGAACCCGGGUAGGCUGCUUGAGCCAGUGAGCGAUUGCUGGCCUAGAUGAAUGACUGUCCACGACAGAACCCGGCUUAUCGGUCAGUUUCACUU